RNAcentral lists this unclassified non-coding RNA (276 nucleotides) under sea anemone metagenome. Its description in RNAcentral is "partial contains small subunit ribosomal RNA and internal transcribed spacer 1". The stretch from base 1 to 153 matches the Rfam family "Eukaryotic small subunit ribosomal RNA", at positions 1678 to 1831 of the family's 1831-position model. The record is from RNAcentral.
GCUCCUACCGAUUGAGUGAUCCGGUGAAUUAUUCGGACUGACGCCGUGCUCAGCUUCUGGACGUUGCGUUGGAAAGUUUCAUGAACCUUAUCACUUAGAGGAAGGAGAAGUCGUAACAAGGUUUCCGUAGGUGAACCUGCAGAAGGAUCAAGAUCGGAAGAGCGUCUUGUGGGGGAAAAGUGUGUAUAUCGGUGUUGGCCGCAUCAUUAAAAAAAAAAAAAAAAAAGAAGUAGCAAGACACCGUAUACACAUCACACAAGUGGACAAACACAAGCA